AGUCGUGUCUAUUAAGUUUAGA
Molecule: non-coding RNA, 22 nt
Filed under: Arabidopsis thaliana (thale cress)
Lineage: Eukaryota; Viridiplantae; Streptophyta; Magnoliopsida; Brassicales; Brassicaceae
Source: RNAcentral